GGCACGUUCGGCAAGCGGUUGAAGCCACAGCCCUCUCAAGGCUGCAUUCACGGGUUCAAAUCCCGUACGUGCUG
Molecule: transfer RNA, 74 nt
Filed under: Ileibacterium valens
Lineage: Bacteria; Bacillati; Bacillota; Erysipelotrichia; Erysipelotrichales; Erysipelotrichaceae
Rfam family: tRNA
About the family: Transfer RNA (tRNA) molecules are approximately 80 nucleotides in length.
Source: Rfam by way of RNAcentral